AUGCAGAGCCCCCAGGACCGGUGGCCAGGACCCGGGCAGUGAGAGUGCCACUGAAAAUCAGCUCCCGUGCCACUUUUGGCACGCAUGCCAUAGGUUGCCUACCCCUGAGAUAGACUGAACACGUCAAAUGUGAUUUACAGUGGCCAAAUUUACCAUGAAUUGUUGCAUUAAAAGUUUUUAGCAGGAUGUUAUUUUAUACUGGAGCACACUUUUUCCCCCAUGUCAUAACAGUAAGAGUAUACAGCUUAAGUAUACAAAAUUGAUUCAAAAUAAAAACAAAAAAGGGUACAGUUUCUUUUUCCUCUGGUCACCAGUCCUUUGAUUUAAAUGAUACAUGUAUGGAAGUAAUGUAAACAAUAAAUUGUUGCCAUGUUACUCUCUGCAAGCCAAUUCAAAGGAAUUUACAAUACAUGUACAUUAACAUUUUAGAAAAUAUUAAGGCCCACAUUUUUAGAAGUGCACACAAGCAGUUGCACAUGCAAAAUUGUACACACAAUUCUUAUCCAGUCAUAUUAAUUACAUGCAUAACUAACAAUCUAGUCUAAAUUGUAAAUCACCUGCAUUCCACUUUCAUUAUAUAAUAAACAUAAAAAUUGAUAACAAGCACUAGAUAGGUGCUAUAUUUAAGGUUAUAACACCUUGCAUGCAUAUUUUUUGUUUUGUUUUUAAGUGUACUGUUUUGUUUUACAUGUACACUUUUCAGUGUAUUUCGAGGGCUAGAUGCCCCUAAUAUGAGGCUCUAGUCUCAAGAGUAACUCUGUAAAAAUUGUCCUCUCUUACUCAAUGGACUUGGUCCAUGUCUUUUUCAGUAAUAUCUACUUAAUUUAGAAAGAGAAACUUGUAGUACUUUUUAUUCCUGUCAAUACUGCAGAAUCACUAGAGCUAUAGAAGAAUUGGCUGGAUUCCUUACUGGGUUGGGGCAUAAUCAACGGAAUUGUUAAAAGUGAGAGUUGCAAGGUUAUAGUCUCACCCUAUUGAGGUCAAAGGAAUUUGUCAAGGGUGAAAGAAAGUAGAAGAUAACAUUGGAGUUGCACAGAUGUAACAGGACCAAAAUUGUUCUGCACAAUUCAUUAUUGACCAUAGUUAACAAGAUGGAAAGAAAAACAGCUUGACUUUCAGAUCACAAGUUGAGUUUGCAAGCCUGGCAGGGUUUCAGAUGGGAGGAUUGGAUUUAAAAAAAAAAAAAAAUCUUGUAAACGGAGCAAAAUUUUACAUGUUAUUGAGAAACAAACAUGCAACCUCGCAAUGUAAGCUUUAGACCAGUUGUUUUUAGAGUAAACUGUAUUAUAUGUGGCUUAAGCUCUUGAAAGAGUUUACAGAUGUCAGCAUACGUCAACAACUUAAACAUUAACCCUACCUUAGAUUUUUUCUUUUCUUUAGAAAAAAUUCAGAAAUAAAGUGAAAAAAUUACUUAAUGCACUAUUAAGGUUGUUUGCUUAAAGUCACCUAAAGUCAGGAAGUGCAGAAUUCAAGGUUCCAAAAACAACAUGAACAUAGAUGUUGCAUCUGUGUAUUCUAUUUUACAACUGUUUUCCAGUUAUGUAUGAUAUAAAAAGAUAUAUAUCAUAAGACAUACAGUAGGUGUAAUGAAGCCAAGUUAACGUUACUGUUGGAACCUUAAUUAUUUCAUUUUUUGCCUUUUAGUGACUGAUUGUGCAGCCAUAAUGUUGCACUGAAUUGGACUUGUUUUUUCUAAUUUAAUGAUGUAUUUAAAGAGGAACUUCAAGAAAGAGAAAUGCAAACCACCUGCUGUUGAAGCUCUCAUUUAAAAACAAAAACCCUACUAAUUGUAAUUACUAAAAUUCCUAAUUAAAGCCAUAAUUCAUGUCCAGAGGACUACUCACAUGCUUAUGUACCUAACUGAUUUGGAGCCUAAAGGAAUAAUUUCUCUGAAUGUGAGCGCUGGAUCUGUUUCUCUCCAGCCUAUGGAAUCCUACAACAUGACAGCAAACCAAUGCUGCUCUAUUGAAUGAAAUCUUGGAUUGAUUUGAGUGACUUAAACAAUCUCUUUGUCAGAAUUAAAACUUGGAGAGAGAAGGUGGGUGAGGUAAUAUCUGAAGAAUAGCUCUGUGUACGUUCGAAACCUUGUUGUUUUCACCAACAGGAGUUGGUUCAAUAAAAUAUCUUCCCCCACCUUGUGUCUCUAAUAUCCUGGGACCAAGAAGAAUUAAAACUUACUGUUGUUGAUUCUGCCUUGUUUAAAUUCUCAGUUCAAUUACAAUAUGCAUUCUUCAUCUGAAAUUUCUCAUGUAUCUCAUUGGCGGCAGCAGCAACAAAGCCUUAAUUACUGAUCUUACUUAAGAACAAUAGGUUUUGCAUUGGUAAACUAGCCUUAGUUGAAAUGUUUUAACUGAAUAUUGCUGUGGGGUUUGCAUGUUGUCAGUUCCUGCAUCAAGUAUACCUCUACCUCGAUAUAAUGCUGUCCUCAGGAGCCAAAAAAUCUUACUGCGUUAUAGGUGAAACGGCAUUAUAUUGAACUUGCUUUGAUCCACCGGAGCGCGCAGCCCCGCCUCCCCGGAGCACUGUUUUACCGCAUUAUAUUCGAAUUCGUGUUAUAUCGGGUUGCGUUAUAUCAAGGUAGCGGUUUAUAUAAUGACAUCUUACAGCUACAGGAGAUCACUUAACAGUAAAAAGAGUUUUUAUUUUCUCUUUCAAUAUUUUUUCCUUUGCUGGCAUGCACAUAGUAUGCUGAUUGAUUAAAGUGUGACGCUGUCUUCUUAUUCCAUGUAUGAAUUAUUUGAUUUCUUCUAUUGGGACUAUAGCUAGAGUGGUUACUCAUGUCUUGUCACUCUACAGGAAUGGGUUGGCUUUGAAUUUUCCUACAUAUAUUACACUGUUGGGCACACAAAAAUAGUUGCAUGUACAACUUUCCUCACUCAGUCACAGAACUCUCAUUUGUGCCUCAGUACAUAUUGGUCCCCUUUGCAAAAUGAAAUGCCCCUUGGAUACUUUAAAUUGUAUCCUCUAGCCCUACAGCCACUCAUCCCUGGCUUUAAUAGUACCAGAAAAGCACCUGGAUUUGAAAUCCGAAAAUUCUUUUUGUAAGUAAUUUCCACCUAUCAACUACCAGCAGUUCUCAAACUGUGGGUCAGGACCCCAAAGUGGGUUGCAACCCUAUUUUAAUGGGGUUGCCAGGGCUGGCAUUAGACUUGCUGGGGCCCAUGGGCAGCAGAGCUCAGGCUACAGGCCCCCUGUCUGGGGCUGACGCCUUUUGGGCUUUGGCACCCUGCCCUGGAGCGGUGGGACUAAGGCAGACUCAGGUUUUGGUCUCCUCUCCUGGGGUCGUGUAGUAAUUUAUGUUAUCGGGGUCGCAGUGCAAUAAAGUUUGAGAACGCCUAAACUAAACCAAUUCCCAAGAACAUGAAACAAUAUUUUUAGAAAGGGGCGCGCUAGUCUUUCAAAAGACUUCAGCAGCCAGAGACAAGAAAACCCCUUCUCUAUUCUGACUGAAUAGCACUCGGAAAUUUCUGACAUAAGUUUAAGCACACAUAGUCUCACUGAAGCCAACAAAGGUACUCACAUAUUUAAAGUGUUUGCAGGAUCAAGGUCAAACUUGUUUUUUAAAAAUCUGGGAGGAUAAUUAGUAGUAUGAUUUUUCUCUUCUCUAAAGCUAACAAGUUUUCAAGGAAAAAAUCUGGCUGUCUCACCAAGAAAUAUUUUGUAGUUUGGGAUUUUUCCCUCUGGUGAUAUUUCUCCCCAUCAAAGAGUAUGGUAAAUUGCCCUUUUCCAUGCUUCCAUCAACAUCAGAAGUGUGUGUCAACAUAAAUGGUAAUGUUCCACCAGUUAUCCAUCCACACUAUCCCUUACUUCCCUGUCUGGAUGUUUGCCAACUUUCUUGUUCUGUGUACUCAAUUCCUUUUUAUCCUUUUCCAGGAACACUUAGUAAUAGAGCAUGGCUAUCCAGAUCUUUCCUCAAAACUGCAUCUCUCUUUUCCCUUUAUUACCAUAUGGAAUUCCUUAUACAAACACUUUGGAAGCAUACACUGAUAGCUAGUUGAAGUAGUGGUAUAAAUAGUAGUUAAUAUAAGUUUCCAGUUAAAAGUCCAGCUACAUAGUUAAAAAAAUUCCUCGUGUGGAAAAAGGCCAUAUGUUGCUUUACAUUACAAUCAGCAAAGCAAAUCAAUGAUUCUCUUUUGCCUCAGUCAUCCUCUUUCAUUGGUCUAGCAAGACAGCUGUCAUACUUGGUUUCCAUUUUAUACAAUUCCGGACACGGCGGUGCUUUCAUUCUCUCUUUUGGAGCAAAACACUAGGAUGCUUUCUCUCACGCUCUCUCUUAAUGGCCUUUCUAGCCUCUCCUAUUCACAUUUAAUGAAAUCAGCUAACUCAGAAAGGAAGCAAACUUCCACCUUUUUACCUUAUGAUGGAGGCUGAACAAAGGAUGAACUUUUAAUGCAAAGAAAUACAGUUUGCAAAAUUUGUUUUCAUGUUAUCAAAAGGCAUAAAAUAAUUUUAAUUGCAAAUGUGUCAAUUUAAAAAAAAAUAAAACCCCUUCCAACUUGCCUGUCCUGUGGCUUUACUCCAGUGUCCUGUGCUGAUCUAUGCUGGCUGUGACAAAGCAAACAUAGUGUGUGCUUGGACAUCUCAGAGAAGGAAUCUGCAAUCCACAAUUACAAAAGGGAUCUAGAAAGAAAAAUAAUAAAGGAAAAUCACCUGAGGUUUGACUGCUGAGGUUUUGACAUUAAAUCAUCAUCUCAGAGGUGCACAGCCUUAUUCCUGAGGAAGUUCUUUGAUCCACUAACGUCUGUACAUUUGAAAGUCUGGUUAGGAGCAUAUACAGUAGAUACAUUCAUUAAGAUUAUUGUGUGACCCUAAGGAAGGCUGAUCAAGAUGUGCAUACCCAACACUGUCACCUUCACAGUGAACUGUCUAGUCACCUGUGCUAGGGUUCUGGCAAGAGCUCCUGUUGAGACUGUAUGUUAUUCUGAGCCCAAGGACCCCAGCUAACACUGUACAUGCAUUAUCGUUCAGCAAAUUACAUGAUUAUAUUCUGUCUCAAAUAUAUAACGUUUCCUACCUUUCCAACAUUUGCAUAAGUAGAUGUGCCACCUUGUACUAUCACAUAUUCAAAGAGGCUGCACAAUAUACUGUUGGUGAAAUAUAAGACUAGGAGAAAGGUGUCCUGCCAUUUAUAUGGUUUAAAAUUACAUUAACUUUCAUUCACUGUAGCAUUCAGCAACAUUUCAAGAAAAUACUUCUUGGUAUUUUAAAAAGUACUUACUACAUAACAAUAUGAGGUAUUUCACACCUAGGAGGGAAAACAGAUACUUAUGGAAAAAUUCAGUUUUUGAUUUACUUAGAAAUAUAAUGGUAAGAUUUGAAAAAAUAAUAUAUAAGGACAAAAUUCUACAAAGAAAUUCUCGCUCAUUAAAAAGACAUUAUAUUAAAGAACAUGCAUCUAGUACUUGGAUAAAGUAAUUAACUUCCUUAGGAAAGUUUGAGGAUAGGUCACAUGAAAACUACAGAGAAGUGAUACUUUGUUAAGAGUGUUAAACAAGAAAAUCAAACAAAUGUUAAUGCAGUGGUGUAUAUGUGUUUCUGUUGAAUUAAAAAAAAACUCCAGCUACAUACAGUAUUAAGAGGGACAUCUAGAAAAGAACAAAAUCCUCCUAAUGUGGUGAUGGAGGGAAACCACUGCAAUAGCGUGUUGAGAGAAGAGAACUGAUCAGUUAGGGCCUGAUCCAAAGCCUGCUGAAGUCAUAGGAUGUCUUCACAUUGACUUUCAUGGUGUGAAUUCAGUGAUCAUUGCCAAAUGCUGAGCACCUUUGAAGACUAUACUCUAAGUCAAUAGAUGUAUUGGACCAUAAUAACUAUAAAAUUAAUGAAGAAAACAUUACAAGAUGCUACACUUGCACAUAAAUCUGUUAAAUUUUAUUUUUUGAGCAAUAGUGUAUGAUCGUGCAAAGACUAUUGUAAUGCAUCAGCACAACAGGGCAUGUGCAGACUUAGCCAUUUCCUAAUUUUGGCGUGCUUAACGGCAUCCCUAAUAUUCUCAGUGUAACUUUUUGGGUGGAAUAAUAAAUGCUUAAGUUGACCUGGUUUUCUUGCCUAUAAUUUUACUUUUUAAAAGUGAGAUCCAUUAUUCUGGCUAUUCUGCCACUUCUACUGAAUCUCCGAAGCAGGUACUAAGAGUUCCUGUUCCUCCUCCUGUCUUUAGAAAUCACCAGUUCCUCUUGCUGGCACAUUUACUACACUGCCUGUGUAACUCUAGUGGAGGCUUCCAAAGAGAUACAAGACUGGAACAUGUGAACAUACACUAAAUUGAAGAUGUGGGGUAGAGGGUUUUUUGUUUUGUUUUUUAAAUCCAUACUAACAUUUCUCUUUCCACAAUGUAAUUCAUGACUGCUAAGUAGUCAUCAACAGAGCUAAUAGGGUGGACGUGGCCAGAGUAGCAGAUCCUACUUGUAGAAAAUGACAUGUAAGAAAAUUAAUUUGACCUUUCCCCUUUAUAAGAUCCACUAGUAUGGAUAUUAUAUCUAGGAGGUUGCCAGCAGAGUCCAAACAUCUUCAAAAUUAGGGAAUAAUAAAUUAUGAAGGUCCAUAGGUAAUAGAAGCUUGAAGCAGAACUUGUGAAAUCCUCAGACUCAAAACAAUUUCUUCCUAGAUAAAAGAAUGAUCGGUACCAAUGAGGUAGGAUGACCAUGAGAACUACAGUCUCCAAAUAUUGCUCAAUAGUCAGUAUAGCACAAACCUUUGGGUUUACAAAGGAGGUCAACCAGCCUCCUAGAGUAUUCCUGUCUGAAUAACACUCUCCAUACAUGGUUAUAAGCCUCAGCCUGUGGAGCUCUGGAUGACUGAGGAGCUUGGUGAAUGGACUUCAGUUUCAGAAUCCGCAAAUAUUACUCCUGGGAGAAUUCUGCACCAAAAAAAUUAAAUUAAAAUUCUGCGUAUUUUUUGUCAAAAUAAUGCAAUAUAAUCCAGCUAGUUCAAUUAUUUUGGUAAUUUAUUUAAAGUACAAUACAAUGGAUGGAAAAUGGGAGUGGGGAGCAUUGGAGGAAAUCACCAAACCCCUCUGUCUAAUAGUAAUGUGGCUAGUAUUGAUCCUUUACUUCUAAUUAUUAGUCAACAAAUAUAUGCAGCCAUAUGCUCAGUGUUACAUCAUAGACAACUGAAGAGCAAGUGAGGGCUGGGGACUCAAACUCACAAUUUAUACUGGCUACUGCCCAUCUCUAGAAAGGUCAGUAGUAAACAGUUCAUGAAGCACAUUUUGACAGGGAAUUUUUUCAGUUCAAAAAUUUAGACCAGUUGUAAUCACUAAAGCACCAUAAGCAUUUAUAAGGCCAUACUCUCCUUUACAAUAAAGGCUCCUUUACACCACCCUGGCAAUAUAAAGGAGCCUUAACAUUUCUACAUCUGUUUUAUACUCCUGGGGGAAUUCACUAAGAACAAUGGGAAUAAUUCACUAAGCAGGCAGGCUGCUAUGUUCUCCUCUGCCUGAGGGAGCAGAGCCUACCCCACACCUACCUCUUGAAAAAUACCCCAAAGCCCUCCAUGCCAAGCGUGCUGCAAUAGUGAGUGAGAGGGACAGAGUGUGUCUCUCUCUCUUACACACAGACACACUCACUCUCUCUCUCUCUCUUUCUCUCCACUACCCCCUCCCCCCGGCAGUGAUUUACAUCUCUUCUGGGUGCCCAAACCCAUCUGUCUGCACUGCCAGGGACUGAGCACAUGACCACCCUCGUGGCUUCCCUUUGCUUCCCUGUCAGAAGUCAUUUUUCUGCGGGUAAGCAAAGAAAUCUGCAGGGGCUAUGAAUUCUGUGCACACACAGUGACGCAGAAUUCCCCCAGGAGUAAAAUAUGUAGUAAAUAUCAUCAACAUAUGUAGUAAUCUGCAGGACCAGAGCCUCAGGAUGGAGCAAUCAGGUUGACAAAAGCCUUGUUCUGAUGUGAUCUUCCCUGCCUCUUGACCAUGAAGACAAUAUUCACAAACCAUCGGGUCUGCCCACAAUAGAGAAUCAUCCUGUCUCACAUGCUUGUGAAUAUCAAUGGGAGGGGAAUAUGUUUCAGGCUCCAAAUGGACACUAGUAAAUUAAAAAGACUUCUCACUGAGCACUCAAUCCCCUACUGCUAAGCAAGUUGGCUGGCAGGUUUAACCAAACUAGAACAUAAACUGUUAGGAGAGGAUUAUGAUGGAUUAAAAAUUCAAGUUGAUAUGUCAUACUUGUCCUAUUCUUUCCAUACAGAUAGGUAUAAUGUUCAGGGGAAUCUCAUGGAACAAUUUCACAAGGGCAUUGAUGACUGCUGUCAUGGAAAAAGUCACCCACGCAUUGAUUUUAGUUCACAGACUCAAGCCUGAGGCCAGUUUAUUGCAAUACAUACCAACGCGUUGGGGUAGCAGUCCGAAAACUACCACCCCUAGCACAGCAGGCUGCUUUUAUUCCGUCAAACCGCAAGCAUAGUACAAAUAAUACGUCAUUUGUGUGAAAUAAGAGUUGGGGUCUGUCCCUUUUUCCCGGUACCUUCCUCAUUAUUUUACGAGAAUUGGGUGCCUAUUCGGUGGGGGGGUUCUUGGUGAUUUCCGCCAUGGGUGGUACUUGGCACCAGUUGGAGGGUUUUUCUUGUUAAGGUACGUAUUAUCUUUCCGGGGUUUUACGGUUAAGGGCAUAGGGGUUUAUCACGGGACGCCCAAAGAAGAUAUAUGAUUGGCUAGUUUGGCAGUUAGUUGGAACUAGAGGAGAAGUUGGCCUUUACUAGAAGCAAUUUCUUCAUAUAGGCAGCUAUUAUGUUUCAUAAACAAGCGGUUAUCAUGUUUCAGAAACAAGCGGUUACUCUGUUGCUGAGGCCUUUCGCAUUGCUCCCUCCCCUCCCUCCUCUGGUCAUAACCCUUGACUGUAUUUGGCAGGGAAUUGUACAGCUUAGUCUUGUUCAGGCCCUGGCCUGUACUGCCUUUUGCAAGGGCAGUCAGUAUAUUGAGCCUCUUUCAAGCCUGAUUUUGGGCCUUUGAUGUUAUUUUGGCUGUCAAAAAGAAGGUUACCCAGUUCUUUUUCCCCACACUGCUUAAAGGCCCUAGAAAGGGGUGGUUUCUUGUUGUUUGUUAUUGCUUCUUGACCAUUUCCAUAGUACCAUAAGUUCUGCUUCUCUUAAAAUGUUCUCUGUAGAAAAGAUGAUAGAGGAUGCAUCUGCUCUAGAGGCUUAUCCUUAAGAGGAUCCCUCUCUAAUUGUGAAGGGACUUGAUUAUUGAGGAUUGUAGAGAAAACACUGGGACCUUUCCUGUACCCUGAGCAUUCAGUUUGGAUUGUGGGAUGGAAGAAGUACUGCUAAUAGAACAAUGGGAACAUGGAGAUAAGUUCCUCUGAAAGUGCCAAAUCCUGAGUUAGGUGAAGGGGAGACUUUUAAAAAAAUUUCUUGCAUCUUUAUAUUGAGUGUGAAGGUGAAACUUUCAUUUAUUUUCCCUGGAAGAGGGAAUUGUAGGGCACGUUAGGUUUCAGUCCAGUGGAGAAAGAUGGAAAGGUGGUCUGAUGAUCUUGUUGGAUGGGACCAGAAAGAUCGUUCCUGGAUCAGUUGGAGAGGAAGGGCAAAACUGGUUGUUUUGGCUAUGUUCGAAAUUCUCUCUGUGGCAAACAUGCUGGUAGAUGUUCAUUGGUUUCUUGGUUGAAGAAUUUUGAGCCUUCCUCUCUUUAGAAGGAUGGGGAAGGUUGGAUGAUGCUUGAUGUUUUCCCUGUGGAUACUCUGAACCAUUUGACAUCCUCCUUCACACAAAAGCUAAGUUCUCCAUGUCAGAUCCCGUUCUUUAGUUGCUUCUUUCCUUCUUGCUGCAUGACAGUUUCAUCAGUGAAUGGACCAAGGAAAGGGGUUUGGGCAGGAGCUCCAGAAAGUAUGCUACACAGACCCUUUCUCUCCAGUCUGGUGGUAUAUGGAAGAAUUUGAGACAAUGGAUGAGAAGGCUAGUCCCAGUAUUGCUAUAGUACCAACCAACAGUCACAUCACUUAACCUGGUGAAAAAAGAAUGGGAUAAGACUUAAAGGUUUUUUUUCCCUUUUUGGUGGUGGGAUGGAGGUCCCCAAUUUGGCAAGGGAGACCACAUUUAAAGGAAAGGUAUCUGCAUGAAUACCCAGACAAUAGUGAGGUGGACAGAAUCCUGAAGGUGUGUGGAUAUGGAUACUAGGGCUCUUGGUAAAUGGCUGGAUAAUUUAUUCUGUGCAAAAUGUUUCUUGCCCUGGCUGGUAACCUCUCCAGUCUCCUGCAGAGAAGGAGCCACGAUGCAGGUAGAUCAUCCACCUCUAUUAACUUUUUGACUUUUGAGCUUCUAGGCAAUAUUCGUGUAUCUGGCCACAUUUGAGCAGGGGAGAAAAUCUAACUUUGCUCUGAAGUCCUACUGUAAGUAGCUAUAGCACCAAUGGAGGGAUAAGGCAUUGCGGGGGGGGGGGGGGAACCACUGACAGAAAGCAGCCCAAUGCACCUGAGUUGCCCUUGAUCCUGGCUUCAAUCCUUUGUCAAGGCCUAGACUGCUGUUGGGCUGGUGUGAGAGAGGCCCUUCCAGGUCACAGUGGUGGCAUUGCUAUUAUUUCAGCAUGGGGAGGAAAAAGCUAAAAGAAGGGAAAUCUCCAGGCUACUUCCAACUCACCCUUCAGGAAGAGCUCCCUGGAAGACAUUUGUAUUAGUUACAAAUUACAUUGUUAGCAUUGUACCUAGGAGCCCGAGUCAUGGACCUGGUCUCCAUUGUGGUAGGCGCAGUACAAACAUAACAAAAAGUCAGUCCCUGUCCCAGGAGCUUACAACUCAAGUAUAAGACAAGAUGGGUACAGACAAGAGAGUGCAAACAAUCAAUCACACUAUUGGUCAGCUUGGCAGGCAGUGGUCUCUGCAAACCAACAGCCUAAAUUGCAGUUGAGUGUUUUGUAGGCAUCUUGGGAAAGGAGUGUUUUGAAGAGGGUAAUGAGGCUUUGUGGAUGUUUACAGGGAGCUCCUCCCAAGUGUGUGGAGCAGCAUGGGAGAAGGCAUGAAGGUGCUUGUUUGAAAAUUUAACAAGUGGGCGAUGGAAGCUGGCAGCAUGGGCCAAUCGGAGGUGAGUGUCGACAGAGAAUGAGACCAUCAGUAGUGGGGGAUUGACUGUGAAGGGUGUUGAAAGUGAAGACAAGCAGCUUAUAUAUGAUGAAAUAUAGAAGGGAGAAAUAGUAGAGGGAUGACAUGGCCAAAACAAUGGGCUGGGAAAAUGAUCUUUACAGCAGGAGUCUGAAUAGGUGGGACCAGGCAGGACAAGCUUGCAUAUGUCAAGGCCAGAGAGAGGGAUGUUGCAGUACUCAAGUCACAGGAUGUUGAGAGUUUGGAUGAGAGUUUUAGCUGGACGGAUGGAUAAAAAAUGCUGUGUCUUGUUGUAUAUCUACACUAGAGCUGGAAGAUGUACAUUCCAGUGCAAGGAGACAUACCCACACUAGCUCUGAUGGAGCUAGCAUGCUAAAAAUAGAGUGUAGCUACAGUGGCACAACAGGAGGGGAUAGCCACCUGAGUACAAUCCCAUCCAAGACCAUAGGUAUGUACUUGGAGUGGCUAGCCACUACUGCUGCUCGGUCCACUGCAGCUGCGCUCUAUUUUUAGCAUGCUAGCUCAGGUCUAAAAUUAAAUAAAUAAUAAAUAAAAAUUAAUAAAUAAAUAAUAAUAAAAAUUUGAGCUGGAAUUUUUACCUCUUCCAAUACUAGUGUAGACACCUUUAGAUAUGUCAUGCAGAAAGAAUCAGCAAUAUUUAGAUUCUGCCUAAAUGUGAGGACCUGAAGAGAGGUUUGAGUUGAAGACGACACCCAGGUUACAGACCAGAAUGACAGGCAGGCUGGCAGAGUUAUUCACAGUGAUCAAGAAAGGAAGUAGUGGGGAGGGCUUAAGUGGGGGGAAGAUUAGGAGCUCUGUUUUACCCAUGUGUAGCUCAAGCUGAUGACUGGGCAUCCAUGAGAGGACAGACAGGCUGAGAUUUUAAUUGGAAAAUGCUCAGUGCUGCAUAAAUGAGGCACAAAACUGAAGAAAUCCUGAAAAACACCGCUUGUGCCCUUGAAACUGCACCCAAAGUUCUUUCCAGCAAUGCUGCAAAGUUGAGGAGGGGCUAUAAAUACCAGCCCCCUGUCUUGAUCCGAGCACGGGGGAAACAGACCAAGCCAAGGGAAUCGCUGGUGCCCCUGUUAUCCUUAGCAAUGCCCCUUUCUCUACCAGAAUGGCUACAGAGCUACGGCAAGUGAGUGAAAGACGCAGCAGAAUCCUGUCUGGAAGGAGAGGUCAGAGGAACCUCAGGGUGGAGACAAAGUGGAACAUACAUGUAGAGUAGUUGACAUUCCAGCAGCUGGGAGUGGGGUGUCAUUUGUUGUGGGAAAAAUAUUUUAGAACAUGCCUCAGAACAGUGGAAGUAGCAGAGUAUGCAGAAGUAAAGGCUAAAGUAGUGGAUCUUAUGGCGAAAAGACAUUGGAGAAAUAAUGCAAAACAUGUUAAAACUGAACUGUAAAGCAACCGAUGAACCCCUAUUUUACAAACUGUUUGGGGACCAAGGAGUUCAUAAAAUUUAACAACAAGAUUACAGAAGCUAGAGCGCAAAAGUUGCAGAAUGGUGCCCUGAAUCGCUUUGUUCUCAUCCUUCAAACCAGUGCAAAGCAUUGCCAGAGGCAUUGGAAUAUGUAGGGAUGUCACUUUUAUUAUGUGAUUUUUUUUUCCAUUGGGGAAAAAUUAUUUGUAUAAUUGCUUGCAAGACUGAGGCUCAUAAAAUUGAGGUUCUACUUAUAUAAAAAUGGUUCCUUCCUAUACAAAACCUGCACACUUUGUAUUCAUAGUCAUAUCUGCUCCUCUCUCUCACACACACACACACACACACACACACACACAACAAAUCUAGUGACUACGUUUUUAUUCUGAGUGUGAGAGAGCGAGCGAGAUGGCAUCAGAGGCUCAGACAUCAGCAGAACUGUUAGUUAAGUUCCAAUUGUAGGCCAAAUUCUGCCCCCAAUUAUACUGAGGACAGAAUUUUUCCUUCAGAAUCCUCAAUGUGUGAUGAUACAUGAACAGCAACUUGAUUCUCAGGUCCCAGGUUGAGUUUGCAAAACUGGCAAUUAGAAAAGCCAUUUUUUACUGUAUGAAUGCAGUACAUUUGAGGCAGAGGCAACUCUAAGAUUAGAGUUUAAAAGCUACUUUGUUUACUGCACACUAAGGCUUCUUUUACUCUCCAUGUUUUGAUACAUUUAAAAAUAUUUUGUUUACAAAAAAUUCACUCACUCAUCUAAUGACCCAUUAGGCUGAGCACUGCAUAGAGUCAUCCUGUAAUGAAACAGCACUAAGCCCACCGUGCAAUCCCUGACACUUACAGGAAUUGUUCAUACAGAAUUUAGCUGGCUUUGUGAUGUGUGCCUUGACUAUUUCCCAGUACUUUACAAACUGAGAUGCAUCUUAUAGCCUAGGGGGGUUCCCUAAGCUGGCAGCUACAAAAAGCCUGAACUGAGCAGUCAUGAGAAGUGAAUUAAUGAACUUCAACAUCACAACCCCUCAGACUGUAUGGAACAGCAGCACUGACAUUUCAGCUUUGAAUUGUGGGCUGUGCUGCUCUUUUUCCAGCAGGUGCAGUUGGAGGGGGAAGUUAUCUUCCCACACACUUCUUGUAGCUGCCAGAAAGUCUGCACGGAGGAAAAAGUCUAAAUUCUAAAUGUGUUCUGGCAAAAGUAAAUGUAGAGAUAUAGGGUAUGUCUCCACUGCAAUGUUAGCAGGACUCGAGUCAGCUGACCCUGGGUUACAGAAUCCAGGGCUUGAGCAUCUACACAUUGUCAACCCUACAUUAAGAAUUUUCUAACCUGGGCUUGAACUUGGGACUAUGACGUCCACACUGCAGCAUGCAGACCCCAGUCAAACCAGCCAUGUCCCGAGACUCCCUAAUGCCCUCUUGUGUUGUAGCUGCUCUAGCCUUUAGACUGUAGUGAACUGUGGGAAAACUUGACUGUCCACCCUGCACAUCAGAGGAAGUUUGAACAGCCUGCCAACCCAGCCUACUGAGCAAUCAUUUUGGUCUGUGCACUCCCAACUACCAGAGACAGCAACAUGGAGGAGGCACCAUUUGAAGAACUUCUGUUGCUUAUGCUUUCACUCCUGUGUCAGGGAACAGGCAAAGCUUCUGUGAGAUGCUGGUGGACAUUUCAGCAGCGUUUUCUGACCCACCAAAGGGCACCUGUCUAACUUUAUAAUGGAGCUGGAGGAAAAGGAGGCAGCAGCACCACAAGUACCCAGGCAUGGCAGACUUGAACUGGCUGAUGCUGCUCAUUACACUCACUAUAGCUGCUGAUGCUCCCUACGUAGAUCAACGCUUUUGGAGCAGGACAAGCACAGGUAGGUCCACAGCAUCAUGUGGAUGACAAACAAUGGGCCCAGAACUUUUGCAUGAAGAAAGCUACAUUUCUGGAGCUUUGUGAGCAGUUUGCCCCAACCCUCCAGUGCAAAGACACGCAUGAAGGCACCCAUGCCACUUCAGAAGUGGAUUGCUAUAGGCCUCUGGAAGCUGGCUACCCUAGACUGCAACAGGACGUGGCCAACCAGUUUGGUGUUGGGAAAUAGACUGUGAGUAGAGUGGUUGGCAGAGGUUUCUGAGGCAAUCAGGCAUGUGGUUUACCCAAAGUGGCGGGCAUAAUAGAUAUUCCUGAAGUAAUGGCUGGCUUUGAGAGAAUGGAGUUUCCAAACUGCACUGGGGCCAUUGUUGGGACUCAUGUGCCCGUAGUUUACCCUCCUCAAGGAGCACAUGAGUAAACCACAAAGGGUACUAUCCAUUGUUAUGUGGGCCCUCAUGGAACACAGAGGCUGAUUUAUGAAUGUCAGUAUGGGCUGCAUUGGAAAUUUCAUGUUGGCAGGGCUUUUUGCUGAUCAGGAAUCUACAUUCAUGGACAGGCUGGGACACUAUUCCCACCAAAUGACAUUGUCAUGAACAGUAUUACUAUCCCCACCAUUAGUCUAGGGGACACUGCAUGCCCCCUCUUGCCUUGACAUAUGAACCUUAAGAGGCCCUGGCAAAAGGUUUAAUGUGCUCUCAGCGGGUGUAGAAUGGUUGUUGGAGUGUUUUUGGCAGAUUGAAAUCCUCUUGGCAAUGUCUACAGACCUGUUUGGAUGCCAGGAUCAAUCAUGCUGUGCACGUUACUGUGCUCUUCACAAGCUUUGUGAGACUUUUCUUCAGGGGACCUAUGCCAGUGAGGGGUCACUGAACCAAUACACUCAGCCAGAAAGUGCCCUACCAUUGCUGGAGCUGGAUGCACCCAGGCAAUGGAAGUCAGGGAUGCUUUGUGCUCCCUCACUAUAAACUUGCUUGGCCCAAUAGAAGAUGGGCUCAUGGAUUUGGGGUGGAGGUUCAGUGCUUGGGGAGGGAUAGGGGCUUGAGUGCCAUGCAAGGUACUUAUGAAUGAUAUGACCACUUACAAAAUGGGGGCAGGAGGUGACUGACUUCCUUAUAUGAAUCCAUAUUGUGAUUGAAGUGUGGGUUGCUGUACCUAACUGUAUAGAGGAAUGGUGUUUGCUAAUGGAUUCCUAGAUGUCCCUGAUCAUAUGGUUACCUUUUAGCAUUUUAAAUACACAUUGUUUGAUGCCAUGCAGUGAUAGCAAUAAACUUUCUUGGGGACAGAAAAAGCUUUAUUUAUAAAUAUGUCUUAGAAAAGUACAACGUUCCCCCAUUGCCAGGCAGGCCAGCUGCCAUUACUACACUAACACAUCAGUAACAACAGAACCUUACAGGGGACAAAAAGUGAUGCAGCAGAAGCCGGUACUUUUGUAGCCAUUAUUGAGAUCAGCUGCUCAAACAGUUCUCUCUGCUGAGGUUUGGCCUCCUCCCUUAGCUGCCAUUCCUGUUCCAGAAACUUCAAAGCAAGUGCCUGUCCUCAAGCCCCACAGCCAGCCUCAGCCUUUCCUCGAGCCAUACGUCCCUCGGUCUUUGGUACUGGACCUGAUUGGUGGCCCCGGCCAGACCUCAACUAUAGGUUCAUCACGGAAACACUUCCUCUUGGAACAAUCUGUAAAGCUAUGUUGGGCCAGGCUUUUACUGAACUGUGGAGGCACAGCAGCCACUAGAGGUUGAGACACCGAGAAGAGUUGGUUCAAAUAGCCCAGUGCAGGAGGACAUCAAAUGUUAUUUUUCCAUACUGAACCUCAGUAUAUUGUGAGAGGGAUGCUUCAGACCACAGAAGCUCCCUGGACACAGCCUGGUUAAUCGCAGCAACAAAGGUGCAGAUGCAAUGGUAAGUUGUAAAUUCAAAACUGGUUUUUGUUUUCUAAAAAUUGCAGAACUAUUUGUGCUGGGGAUGGGAGGUGGGCAGUCAGUGGUCAUGUUACAAAGGCUUUUCCAAUCAUUUCAGGCAUGUGGUGCCCGACUGGCAAAAGAUGUUAUUUCAACCUGCUGGUGAGAAAACUGCAGCGUAUGCAUCCAGUGUAUUCAAAUGCACAGUGACUGAACAGCACAUCUGAGUGGAAAGGCCUGGACACCUACCGAAGUGGCCCUGGAACAUACGCCCUUCCCCAAAAUGUGACCAACUUAUCUGGAGAUCAUGCUGCUGGAGGAGUUUGCAUCUGUCAGCAUACGGGAUUGGGUCAGACUUCAUGAGGGAAUCAACAGGAUUUGGUGUUAGGUUCCACCUGGCUGAACCAGAUAUGAUUGUAUGCAAACACAUGUAACUCCACUGCCGUGCCUUCCCCCCUCACCCUGCACAUUUCUGGACUCAUUUCAAACCCAGCCGUAUUUGAGGCAAAUUAUUUUGUCACCUAUAGACUGCCUGGACUACCUUUACCUAAAUGGACUAGAUUUGUGAAUGGAUUUCUACCUCCUCCCCACACCGUUCACUGUUCCAGGUGGCUCAUUACGCUGCUGAGUGGUUACAGAGUGGCAAACUUACAGGAAUGGCAGUGGAAGGUUAGUAUUUUUAAGAAGCAGGAGUGGCCUAGCAAAAAUCUGCCUUUUCGCUUUCAAGGCAUUUUUGCUGUUUGUAUUUCCCAAUCACCAUCUGGAACUCCAUGUUAGAGGAAGGUGGGGAACCAUGCCCCUGGGAUACAAUCUCCUGUUAGUGGAUACAUGCUUCUAGCCAGGACUUCUAAUAACUUUUGCAUUGGUUCAUAGAAUGGAAAUCCAUCCCAUUACUGUAUUAAAUGGAGUCAGAAACUUACCAGGCUCUGGAAUGGCUUCUGACCCGUGUCGGCUGCAGGCUCCAAGUCAGGCUGUUCUUUGGAGGGGAGGCAUCGAACAGCUCCUCCGAAUAUGGCCCUAGGAUGUGCUGCUGCUCCUGUGGCAAAACCUCCCACAGGACUCUCUUCAGCAACAGAGUCACUUUGCUGGCCUCACUCUGGAUUCUGAGGCCAGCAGGGUGCCAUCCCAGCUGACCAGUUCAUCCUGCACCAUUGGCUGUUCCCAGCACCUGGUGAAAUGCCUCAUAAAAUGGGCACAAUAGUGGUGAGUUGCCAACUGUGUGGUUCUGAUCCCUGGUUUUCCUGUCCUCACUCUUGAGCUGUUUAAGCCACUCCCUACGCUGGUUACAAGUCUGAUAUAUUUGCAAUGCUGCCAGCUUCUUCACUAUUUGCUGGUAAUGCUUGAUCAUUCCAGUAUGCUUACUGUGGUUCUGCUGGCUUUGCACCAGAGAUUAAUCAAAAUCUGGCUGCGUUUCCAUGACUAUGAAGCAACAGGCUUUGCAAAAAAGGCUGGUCAGUCUCUAUUGCAAAUGCUGAAAGCUUUCUGAUGGUGCAUUUGCAGGUCUCUAGUCAGAAGCCAAUGGAAGGGUUAAUGCUGGCUCACUGAGCUGCUGCAGUACACCAAGAGACGUCGAUUCCAUUGGAGUCAAUUGAGGAUUCUUGGGAUAGAGAGGACUAAGGAAGGUGGCCCCAUGGGAUUGUGGGAUACUUUUGGCCAGUUGCCAGGACACGAGUCAAGCAGGACUAUGUUGACAUUGCAACUCAAUAGGUCUUGAACCCUGGUUCCUGGCUUGGCUUGGCCCCUCCAGACCCACAGGGUCCUAGGUCAAGGCUGAGAGAUUUGUAUGUAGAUUGAAAGGGGAGGUUUAAACUGAAGCUUGAGUCCAGGUUUACAAUGCACUGUAACCAUACCCUUAGAAGCUCAUGGUUUGCUAGAGAUGCUUCAAAUGAUGAGUGUAUGGAUAACUGCAUGCACUAUUCCUUAUAAAAGAAAGCACAUCUGUGUGGUUCAUAAUGAUUCUUUGAAAACUAAAAUGCUUCAGUUUAUAGCUCAAGUUACUUUGCCUUUGUUUCUUGUCAACUGAUUUCAUCCUGUUAUACUACUAACCUUUGUAACUCUGUACUGAAAUAAGGAGUCUAUGUUGUUGUUGCUUGUUUCUCUCCCAUAGGCCUUGAUACAAUUUCCAUUCAGCAGUUGAAGAAGAAACGGUCUCAAUCUUUGACCGAAGACUCAGGUUUCCACUAUAGUUGGUAGCAAGGCUUCCUUUUCCUGACCUCAGGUGCUUCCUUAGGUUGUGAUUCACACAUUUCCUGCCUCUCUACUGACUAGCUGUGUGGGGGCUGGACUAGCUCACAUGUACAUCACGUGCCCCCCUUCACCAGAGAAAGAAAGUACUCCAUCUAAAUACACUGUGAAUAAUACUUAGCAUUUAUUUAGAAGGAAAAUGAAACCUAGUCUGUAGACUUUCCUACCUCACUACCCUGUAGAGAUGGUCAUGCUGUUGAAGUUUGUUAAAGAAAAAAUCUCUGGGUAAAAAUGACCUAUUGAGACUGUCUACAUUAGAUCCAUUUUUCAAUUUCCUUGCAUUGGUUCUGCUUCAAUUGUGUUAGCAACUUUGAUAGAAUGAUGGUGGACAGCUGCAAGGCUAAAUCCUUAACACUGUAGCGGCUGCAGCAGCAGUUGUCCUAGUGCUGGUAACAGCAAUGACAUUAAAAAUGUGAACAGUGGAUAUUUUUCAUAAGUCAUCCUAGUGUAGAAAGGGCUAUUGUUAGAAGUCAUGCCAGAUUUGUGCAUUUCUCUUCAACCAUGGUAUGAAAAUAACCCAGUAAUUAAAAAAAGUCUGGAUUACUGAUUUGGAGCUUUUAUCAAUUUUGGCCUAUGCAUCGAUCCUCCCUUUUAGCGGGCUCGAAAAUACCUCACUGAUCUACAUAUCCUAUGUUCCAGGAGAUCAACCAACAGCUCAGGCAGCAGGUUCUCCAGUCACCUAAUUCCCUGAAGAGAUCUGCACCUCUCCCAUGUUCUUGCUUUGAAGUGUAAAAUAAUGUAUCCCUUUGUUCUACAAUAGAUUCCAACCCUGCAUAAUUCAAGACCUCUUCAUGCCAUUUGAACUUAUGUUAAAAAUCACACUGAAAUCUUCUCAUUUGGCCUGCUAACUAAAGAAUUCCCCUUUUUACUAACCUGACCCCACUGACUCUUGAUCAGUUUCACUAUGUAAAAUACAUGGAAAAAAAUGAAAUUAAAUCAGGUUAUCUUUAUUCUGGUAGUUGUGACACUUCACUUGGCUUUGAAGUCUUAAGUAUCCUGUGAACAAUGGGUUAGUGACAUCAGCACUGCAGUACUAAUAUUCCAUUCCCAUUAUCACAAAUUAUGAAUGUUAGAUACACAAAUUGAGUAUGGUGACUGCCUGGCUUUGAAAAGCAAUGGAUGGCUUACAGAUUUUAAUAUACUGAACGCUACUGAAGGUGUGGGAUUCCAAAAUGAAUGGUGAGUCAACCUAUUCCAUCAUAAUAAAAUGUAAAAUAAUUUUGUGAUAGGCUAUUUGAUUUUCAAGGAGGGAAAACAAGGAUAAAAAGGCUGAAGUUCUCAUGGUAUUUUAUUUACAGGCUACUCGAUACAUCUUAUAUACAAAUGGCUUAAAGAAAUAUCAACAAUAAGUAAGCUGAAGUAACAGUUUCAGUAUUUUAAAUUUUGUUGCCCUAAAAUAAUUCCUAUGAUAAGAAUACUUAACCUUGUUCAGUGAAAAUUAGUUUGAAUUUAAGUCCAGCACUUAAUUUUUAAAUAUGAAACAGUUUAGAUCUGAAUCAAUUUUCUGGCAAUUUUUUUUAUUUAAUGGCAUACUUAACUGCAGAGAACACAUUAAUACUGCCUCAAACAAUUUUAAGCAUUAAUCAAGAUUUUUCCACCGACAUAAUUCAAUUCUGAGACUUUUCAUCCUUUGGAAGGGAUUUAUUUUUCUCUUCAAUCUAAAACAAAAAUUCAAAAAGUUUGGCUGAAAUUUAUUUCCUCUACUGGUAAUGAAACAUGGGGCCAGAUCUUGUAGUUUGGGACCUAAUGGAGUUUUAGUCUGAAUAACAAUUGCAUGAAAGUUACCCGUGCUAGUUUUAAAAUUAGUUUUACAGCUUAUUUAUAAAUCUCAGCAACAGAUGGGCCUUUAAUAACUUUCUUCAGACUGGCACUAACUCCUGAUAUAAAUAUAACAGGAAAAGCAAACUCAAAGCAUCAAUAGUUUACAUUAAAACUCCUUCCACCUCUGUUUUUCGUUAAGCAUCUGAUGCUUAGGAUGAUAAAAGGUAAUAGUAAUUAAAUAUGUAUUGAAUAGGUAUGAAAAAUAUAAAUAUGCAAUUUUUAAAAUGUAUAAGUUUAAUUUUCUAGCAAUUACAUUUGCAUUUAAAGAUCAGAUUUAGUUACUUGGAUGGGGGGAAAUGUUGUAGGUUUUUUCUUUUUCUCCUGUUUCUUCUACUCCGGAUUACUUUAUCCUAGGAUCAUGAAUUUGUUUUUAUGUUAGUGUCUCUCUCUCCUUUUCAUUUGGCUGAAGUUAUGUAAUAUCGUAUUAGUGCAAAUUGUUAUGCCUGUCAGACUAGCACUAUGUGUUUUAAAUUUUUUCACUCCAGGUAAUGUUGGAGACCACUUCAUUCAAAAUUAACUAUUCAACCCGUGGAAUAGGUCCAGGAUCAAAUACUUUAAUCUGGAUGGUAGAGAAAAACACUUUUUGAUGUUGGGUCCAAUUCUCUGCAGUACUUCUAGGA
This is a non-coding RNA of Chrysemys picta bellii (western painted turtle), 20850 nucleotides long. The record is from RefSeq and is a predicted model, not a curated record. Lineage: Eukaryota; Metazoa; Chordata; Testudines; Emydidae.